UACGUAGGGUGCAAGCGUUAAUCGGAAUUACUGGGCGUAAAGCGUGCGCAGGCGGCUUUGCAAGACAGAUGUGAAAUCCCCGGGCUUAACCUGGGAACUGCAUUUGUGACUGCAUGGCUGGAGUGCGGCAGAGGGGGAUGGAAUUCCGCGUGUAGCAGUGAAAUGCGUAGAUAUGCGGAGGAACACCGAUGGCGAAGGCAAUCCCCUGGGCCGGCACUGACGCUCAUGCGCGAAAGCGUGGGGAGCAAACAGG
Molecule: ribosomal RNA, 253 nt
Filed under: uncultured bacterium
Lineage: Bacteria
Description: partial 16S ribosomal RNA
Rfam family: Bacterial small subunit ribosomal RNA
Source: RNAcentral